Molecule: ribosomal RNA, 95 nt
Filed under: Ruminococcus sp. AM29-26
Lineage: Bacteria; Bacillati; Bacillota; Clostridia; Eubacteriales; Oscillospiraceae
Description: partial 16S ribosomal RNA
Rfam family: Bacterial small subunit ribosomal RNA
Source: RNAcentral
GAGGAGCUGCCGAAGGCGGGACCGAUGACUGGGGUGAAGUCGUAACAAGGUAGUCGUAUCGGAAGGUGCGGCUGGAUCACCUCCUUUCUAAGGAA